ACUCCUACGGGAGGCAGCAGUGGGGAAUAUUGCACAAUGGGGGAAACCCUGAUGCAGCGACGCCGCGUGGAGGAAGAAGGUCUUCGGAUUGUAAACUCCUGUUGUUGAGGAAGAUAAUGACGGUACU
Molecule: ribosomal RNA, 127 nt
Filed under: uncultured Bacillota bacterium
Lineage: Bacteria; Bacillati; Bacillota
Description: uncultured Firmicutes bacterium partial 16S ribosomal RNA
Rfam family: Bacterial small subunit ribosomal RNA
Source: RNAcentral